GAGUUUGAUCAUGGCUCAGGACAAACGCUGGCGGCGUGCUUAACACAUGCAAGUCGAACGAUGAAACGGAACGGAAGUUUUCGGACGGAAGUUCUGUGGAUUAGUGGCGGACGGGUGAGUAAUGCAUGAAGAACCUGCCUUUCACAUAGGAAUAGCCUCGGGAAACCGGGAUUAAUACCAAAUGACACUCCGAGAUCGCAUGUUUUUGGGGUUAAAGAUUUUAUCGGUGAAAGAUGGCUUCAUGUCCCAUUAGCUGGUUGGUGAGGUAACGGCUCACCAAGGCGACGAUGGGUAGCCGGCCUGAGAGGGUGAACGGCCACAUUGGAACUGAGACACGGUCCAAACUCCUACGGGAGGCAGCAGUGGGGAAUAUUGCACAAUGGAGGGAACUCUGAUGCAGCGACGCCGCGUGAGCGAUGAAGGUCUUCGGAUCGUAAAGCUCUGUCCUAAGGGACGAUAAUGACGGUAC
This 469-nucleotide ribosomal RNA is filed under the name Tissierella sp. canine oral taxon 029. Its description in RNAcentral is "bacterial SSU rRNA". It matches the Rfam family "Bacterial small subunit ribosomal RNA", at positions 9 to 478 of the family's 1533-position model. The record is from RNAcentral. Lineage: Bacteria; Bacillati; Bacillota; Tissierellia; Tissierellales; Tissierellaceae.